AUAUUGCACAAUGGGGGAAACCCUGAUGCAGCGACGCCGCGUGAGUGAAGAAGUAUUUCGGUAUGUAAAGCUCUAUCAGCAGGGAAGAAAAUGACGGUACCUGAGUAAGAAGCCCCGGCUAACUACGUGCCAGCAGCCGCGGUAAUACGUAGGGGGCAAGCGUUAUCCGGAUUUACUGGGUGUAAAGGGAGCGUAGACGGUUUGGCAAGUCUGAAGUGAAAGGCAUGGGCUUAACCCGUGGACUGCUUUGGAAACUGCAGAACUGGAGUGCAGGAGAGGUAAGUGGAAUUCCUAGUGUAGCGGUGAAAUGCGUAGAUAUUAGGAGGAACACCAGUGGCGAAGGCGGCUCUCUGGUCUGCAACUGACGCUGAGGCUCGAAAGCAUGGGUAGCGAA
RNAcentral lists this ribosomal RNA (394 nucleotides) under uncultured bacterium. Its description in RNAcentral is "bacterial SSU rRNA". It matches the Rfam family "Bacterial small subunit ribosomal RNA", at positions 361 to 772 of the family's 1533-position model. The record is from RNAcentral.